GGUGGCGUGGCACAACCUGGUACUGCGCUAGCCUUGAGAGCUGGUUCCCUUCGGGGUAUCUCGGUUCGAAUCCGGGCGCCACCG
RNAcentral lists this transfer RNA (84 nucleotides) under Candidatus Woesearchaeota archaeon. RNAcentral's name for it is "tRNA-Ser". It matches the Rfam family "tRNA". Rfam says of the family: Transfer RNA (tRNA) molecules are approximately 80 nucleotides in length. Lineage: Archaea; Nanobdellati; Candidatus Woesearchaeota. The record is from RNAcentral.